This is a non-coding RNA of Xyrichtys novacula (pearly razorfish), 1325 nucleotides long. NCBI's taxonomy places the organism in Eukaryota, Metazoa, Chordata, Actinopteri, Labriformes, Labridae. The record is from the annotation of a GenBank genome assembly.
AAUGAAAUCACGCCACAUUUGGGUCACACACAGGUUGAAACACUGUCAUAAACAGACAAAGAAGAGACAGACAAGACUGUAAAUAACUGGAAGGCUAAUAAGUUAUGAGAGCAACAUGUAGAAGAAUUACAACGGAGAAAAUAUAGGUCCACUGUAACUCAGAGUGAAGUGUUUGUUGAAAAUGUCCUUGGACUAAAUAUGCUGAACUCCGGGUCUUUUUGGAUGAGCAGGCCAAAACAAAAUCAUGAUGCUGUCGAGGUGUGUUGGGAUCCUCAUGUAAACAUAGUGACACUGAAACUAAAUCUACCAAAUAUCUUUGAGCCGUUUAGAAAAAGGGCUGCUUUCUCCUGGAGAGUUGAUUCUGUUUGCAUGAAUUAUUUCUGCAAUACAAAAAGAAAAAUACCUCCUCUCAAACUAUUUUAUUGAAGACCAUUGUCGUCUUUUAACCAAUUUCAGUGUCAUAGUAAAAAGUAGAAUUAUGAAGGCUCAUUAGUUGGAGAUAUUGUGUUUUCACCAUAUCUACUGUUUUGGGUGGGAAAAAUUCAACUGUAUUCACUGGACUGUCUUGCAGAAAUAUGACUGCUUUCACAUCUAAUUUUUCUUUCGACCUGCAUUCCUGACUGUUUUUUUCUUAAUCUUAAAAAAAGCAUCUCUCUUGCUUCUCUUCGUGCUUUCUUUCCCCCCCGAACACAAGUGAGAGAUAAAGAAAGUCAAGUGCCAUAUAAAUAAAAAGGUCUUGCCAGAGGCACUUAACUCUGCAAUCUUCUGAAAAUUGUGUCUUAGCUCAGCUAGUCCACUCAAGUCACAUUGGAGAAUGGGCUUCGAAUCAAAGCGGGAAUCCUGAAGCCCUGCAGUCAUUAGAAAGACAGAGGAGGAAAAGAACAAAUAAUAAUGGUGAUCUGAUAGCUUUCUCUCUGUGCAUAUUCUAAAGAUCUGCCUCUUAUAGUAAGAUAAAUCAGCUCACUGGCAUGAGUGAAAGCGAGAAUGUAAGCACACUUUUGUCUGUUUUUCCAGCUUCCUUUUGUUAUGCUCAUAGAAGGUUCGUAAUUGCAAGAAAAUCAACACUAUAAUGGUGGAGAAAUUUGAUGAAAUGUCCUUAAAACCUGUGUUGUACCUGAUGAUCAUAAGAACUGACAUGCUAUCAGGGAACAGCCUGCUGCGAGCUCUGUGUCUGGUGAUUAUCAUUACAAUAACAAUGACAGAAUUCAUCUAUAUGAAACAAGGCUUUAUUGGCUCACUGUAUCAGCUCGAGCACAAGGUAGCAGGCCGGACUGAUCAUCGCUUGGCUGCUCGAGCACUUUCUCCUCUGUCCUCCUGUCUGUCUC